UAUACAUAUGUAAAGAUAGGUGUCUUUCAAUGUUUAAAGACUUAAAAGGGAAGUUGGUGUAAUUCCAACGCGGUCCCGCCACUGUAAAUGGGAGCAUACUGCAAUGGCCACUGUACGAGGAUGUAUGGGAAGGAGCAGUAAAGCAAUGACCAUGAGCCAGGAGACCUGCCUGAUCUUUUUGCGCCAC
RNAcentral lists this non-coding RNA (187 nucleotides) under Bacillus sp. (in: firmicutes). Lineage: Bacteria; Bacillati; Bacillota; Bacilli; Caryophanales; Bacillaceae. The record is from RNAcentral. RNAcentral also lists the same sequence under 1 other name.